Suricata suricatta (meerkat) is the source of this 2057-nucleotide long non-coding RNA. RefSeq lists it as uncharacterized. The transcript has 4 exons. The record is from RefSeq and is a predicted model, not a curated record. NCBI's taxonomy places the organism in Eukaryota, Metazoa, Chordata, Mammalia, Carnivora, Herpestidae.
AAGCUUGUAUUUGAGUAAGACUUUGGACAAUGGUGAGUUGCUUCCUGUAGUUGUCUAGGAGUGGUUGCCAGACACUGAACACUCUCCAUCCCCGGACCUUCAGCCCACCUUUGCCCAAGGAAUAUUGUUGGCAGUGACCCAAAUACUCCACCAGGUGGCACUCUUGCUUUGCUCCAUCCAGGUGCCCCUGCCAAGGUGCUUCUUAGCGAAACUAAAGAGAUUUAAAUAGUUGCUAAACUGUUGCCAGUUGUUUUCUGAAAGGCCAGAGAGAAUCCUGAGCCCGGAGGAGGGUAAGCAGAGAUGCCACAUGAAGAGGAUUGGAGGGAUCGCCUGGAGAGCCCGGAGCCAGUAUAAACACACGUGACAUGGGAGAGAAAAGGGAGAUUAAUGGUUUUCUGUGCAGCAAAGCCUGGUGGGAAGAGCUCCGGGACUCACCUCUAAUGCUGGCUCCACCACCGACUAGGUGUGAUCUUGGACAGAUAACUGGACUUUGCAAGGCUGAAAUUCUUCAUCUUUAAAUGGGGAUCACUGUAGCUGCCCCCCGCCCCCUUGCCCCAUGCAAUCCUUAGAGGAUCAGAUAAACUGAUGUGCAGGAGGCUAUGUGCAUGGUGCCUGCUACCCAGAAAAUGUUCAACAAAAGAGAGGUGCUGUGAUGGACUUUUAGGCAAAGGCUGAACGGUUAGACUUUGUACACCCACCCCCACCCCUGCCGGCUGUUACUAAUAAGAGAUGACCUCAGAAUGACCUGGAGAAAUAACUUGAUAAUGAACCAUGGCUUUAGCAGAGUCAACCAGAAGAAUUUCCCACCUGGAUUGAGUUUCACAGGUGUGAUUUUUGAACCGGGAAGUCAAGCUGGGUUCCCGGGCAAAACUGUCUCCCCCUUGGCGACUGGGGAAGCAUCUGACCACUGGGUGACUGGUCCCGCUUAAGCUGUGCAUCGUUGCGGAAAGUAUCCAUUUACUGUGACCACGAGUGCUGUGCGGAGAUGUUCAUUGGCUGCCCUCUCACCGCAUCCCGCGAUCUGUGAGCUCUGUUCAUCCUGGUCCCUGCCGGGGACUCAGGCGAGGAAGAUCAACCUCCCUGCGCAGGAAAGGGUUAGGCAUGGCUGAAGACGGGGACAGCACGAGGUCACUACCAGCGGGAGACAAAGAGAGGACACUGACCAGCAGCAUCUUUUGGCAUCGAGGAGAAGCAGCCUGAAGAGCCACUGCCGACCCUGCCCUGGGGGUGGCUGGUUAUCCUAUGUGUCAGCUGGGGGCGGGGAGGGGGCUCAUAGGGCCAGGCUUGCUGCCCAUCCCCCUCCAUGCUGUGGACCCAAUGGUCUGAGUGGAGAGGGGCAAGAACCAUGCACGGGGGAUGAACACAUGCACCCCGAUACGGAUGGGUGGUGGGCAAACCAGAGCCCCGACCAUGCGAACGUGUGAUGUGCGUUGUCAUCCCACAUCAGGUGUUGGCACCGCCGGCAGCCAGUGCAUCAGGCAGGAGCGACCCUCCCUCCUGGAACCAGUCAGGCCACAGGUGUCCUGACAACCUCAAGAUCAUGAGACAUUGAGCUCUGAGAGCAUCCGUCUCCUGGUCCCUGUUCAGAGCGCCCACGGAUGGCCCGACAGCCGCCAUGCGUCCAGGCACCCACACAGGACUUGGGAAUCUGCAAGGAAGUUUCCCCAGAGUGCAGAGUUGGGGAGCUGGCUUCCUUCCCCGGUCUAAGGGCCACAUGGAUGCCCAGACCCAAGCCCCAGCGACUCCGCUCCACUGGGCUGACUGGGCUCCUCCACCAUGUGCAUCAAAACCUCCCCAGGUGAUUCUACUGUGCAGCCGAGGUUGAGUGCCACUGGGAUCCAGCCCACUGAUUCGCAAGCUGGCCGCACAUUGGAAUCACCCUAGAGGUUUGAUAAGUUUUAACGCCUGGACCUCACUCCCAGAGUUUCUGGCUUAAUUGGUCUGGAGUGUUAACCUGGCAUGGGGAUUAGGGAAUCAUUACCUUUCACCUGAGGCAGCAGUUUUUUAAAUGUUUAUUCUUGAGAGAGAGAGAGAGAGAGAGAGAGAGAGAGAGAGCG